Long non-coding RNA from Homo sapiens (human), 576 nucleotides. Ensembl annotates it as KLRK1 antisense RNA 1. Its record names the gene KLRK1-AS1. NCBI's taxonomy places the organism in Eukaryota, Metazoa, Chordata, Mammalia, Primates, Hominidae. The record is from Ensembl.
GGGCUCAGUCAUUUGGAUGUUAAUCCAACUGGGCCAGUGCACCUAAAUAAUAAAAAUCCUCCUCAACCCCUUGGUGUUCCUGAUUCCUUAUCAAUCCUGCUACAGGUGGAGAAAAAAGAAAGACCAGCAGAAAAGAAAAAAACUAGGAGAGGAAGUCAGAGGGAAAGAAAGCAAAAACAGCAAGCAUAGAGCCAAACAGCCAGGCAGGCACGCCAAGGGGCUGGCAACCUUGUAGUAAAUGGGACCACAUCCCUUAAACUACCCAGGAGCAAAGCUGGACUUCCACGAAAAAGUCUCAGUUGGCAGUGUUACCGCUGGUGUAAUCUCUUCUCUGUUCCUGGCUUUUAUUGAGAUGGUUGAUCAUCUUUACACAGUCCUUUGCAUGCAGAUUUUAGGAAUACAGCACUCCAUAUUGUUACCAUAAUAAUGAAACGGAUUCCCAUGGCUACAGCGAUGAAGCAGCAGAAAAAAAAUGGAGAUGCUGUCAAAGAAAAAAGACACAGAUCAGAGAAAGAAGCAUAAAAGGUUUGGGUAUCUUUGUAUUUAAUAUAAAUAUUAGAGUUUUUUAAAUGAGAA